Molecule: long non-coding RNA, 535 nt
Filed under: Gossypium barbadense (sea-island cotton)
Lineage: Eukaryota; Viridiplantae; Streptophyta; Magnoliopsida; Malvales; Malvaceae
Description: long non-coding RNA (GBAR_LNC015041)
Source: RNAcentral
UUGAUUAAAUAGCUAACCAUGAAAUGAAGCAUAGCUGUUGACCAAAGCCAAGGCAUUACUAGUCAAAUGAGCGAUUGUGACAAUCUUGGAUCUCACAGCAGUCUUUACACUGCCGUUCAUGUUUUUCCCUCCAAACCCGUCGGCGCAGGUGUUCUCAUCCGUCAAAGCAGCGCUAACCCAUGUCUGUAUAUCGUUAAUCAUUAGUCCAAAAUUGGAGCCUUUAAGCUGACCCAUCUCGCUGAUUGACUUUCUCAGCUCAUCUAUCGUGUCCUCCAAUUCCUCCACGCAAUCUUGCAUGGCGCCCACCUCUGUAGGCUUCAAUCCUUGGCUUUUGGCAAGCUUCACCAUCAAGGCCGAGGUUGACUUGGCGGUUGAAAGGGUCACGUUUAGGGCGGCAUGGGCGAUGAGUUGGGGGCUUGUUUGGAUCAUGCUAGCCUGUGUUAAGAGAGAUUCGUAACAAAGUUUAGGGUAAGUCGUUGAACUACAAGAUGUUCUGAUAAACUCAAUGCUAGUUUUAGGGGCAAUUUGCCUACCA